RNAcentral lists this ribosomal RNA (440 nucleotides) under Blastocystis sp. Its description in RNAcentral is "SSU rRNA". It matches the Rfam family "Eukaryotic small subunit ribosomal RNA", at positions 477 to 933 of the family's 1831-position model. RNAcentral also lists the same sequence under 1 other name. Lineage: Eukaryota; Bigyra; Opalinata; Blastocystidae. The record is from RNAcentral.
ACAAUGCGGGACUAUCAGUCUUGCAAUUGGAUUGAGAACAAUGUACAACUCUUAUCGAUAAGCCAUUGGAGGGCAAGUCUGGUGCCAGCAGCCGCGGUAAUUCCAGCUCCAAUAGCGUAUAUUAACGUUGUUGCAGUUAAAAAGCUCGUAGUUGAAGUGUGGGUGAUCGCUGUUGUGAGACUUCGGUCUCUCGACAGUAAGUCACCCCCUUCCAGUAUCCAGUAGUGGGUAUUCAGUUACUUACUAUUGUGUGUUGGUCCUUUACUGUGAGAAAAUUAGAGUGUUCAAAGCAGGCGUUUGCUUGAAUAGAUUAGCAUGGAAUAAUAAUUGAAGGCUUUCGUGUUCGAUUUGAUUGGUUUGUUCAUGGAAGCAAGGUUAAAAGGAACAGUUGGGGGUAUUCAUAUUCACUAGUUAGAGGUGAAAUUCUCGGAUUUAUGGAA